This 200-nucleotide ribosomal RNA is filed under the name uncultured Anaerolineaceae bacterium. RNAcentral describes it as "partial 16S ribosomal RNA". It matches the Rfam family "Bacterial small subunit ribosomal RNA", at positions 1185 to 1382 of the family's 1533-position model. Lineage: Bacteria; Bacillati; Chloroflexota; Anaerolineae; Anaerolineales; Anaerolineaceae. The record is from RNAcentral.
UCAAGGUCAGCAUGGCCUUUAUGUCUGGGGCUACACACACGCUACAAUGGCCAGUACAAUAGGUUGCAAAGCCGCGAGGUGGAGCCAAUCCUUAAAGCUGGUCUCAGUUCGGAUUGCAGGCUGCAACUCGCCUGCAUGAAGUCGGAGUUGCUAGUAACCGCGCGUCAGCUAUAGUGCGGUCGAAUACGUUCCCGGGCCUU